GGGGGUGUAGCUUAAUUGGUUAAAGACGUCAGCUUAUACCUGACCAAAGCCCUGGCCAGAUAAGCCAGAGUGUGUGGGUUCGAGUCCCACCACCCCCACCA
This 101-nucleotide transfer RNA is filed under the name Limnohabitans sp. Its description in RNAcentral is "tRNA-Ile". It matches the Rfam family "tRNA". Rfam says of the family: Transfer RNA (tRNA) molecules are approximately 80 nucleotides in length. Their secondary structure includes four short double-helical elements and three loops (D, anti-codon, and T loops). Lineage: Bacteria; Pseudomonadati; Pseudomonadota; Betaproteobacteria; Burkholderiales; Comamonadaceae. The record is from RNAcentral.